Molecule: non-coding RNA, 1225 nt
Organism: Pelobates cultripes (western spadefoot toad)
Lineage: Eukaryota; Metazoa; Chordata; Amphibia; Anura; Pelobatidae
Source: the annotation of a GenBank genome assembly
UAAUAAGAAUAUAAUCUUCUGGAGCUUUGUGGUUCAAACUGUGUCUCUAUCGAAUGUGUCUGGGCAUCGUUACCAGCAAAGCCAGGUAAGGCUCUAGUAGUAGCAUUUCUACCGUUCAGUUCCCCAGAGACAGAGAGAUCUCAAUCUGUGCUGACCCUGACCGGAGCGCUUAAAGUGGAACCGUCACCUCCCAGGCGUUUAACUAUUAUGUUUACUUAUUUCCUAUAUUUAAUAAAGCAUAUACACGCUGUUGCACUCACAUGAAACGUGCUGUCCUGCUUAACCUCUGGUUUGACAAGUCUUUCCAAUGGCAGAACAUUUUAAGUGAUGCUCAAUGUGAAUUUUAAGUGUUUUGCUUUUUUUAUCUUUUCUUGUGUUCUCUUGUUAUGUUGUCUUUUUUGUUUUAUUUUUUGUUUUAUUUUUUAUUCUGCACUAAUACCUUUCUUCUUUCCCUUCAAGGAGCACAAGGAAAGUGCUAACCUGCUUUGAAUGCGUCUUUACCAGCAAAGCCAGGUAAGGCUCUAGUAGUAGCAUUUCUAUUGUUCAGUUACCCAGAGACAGAGAGAUCUCAAUCUGUGCUGACCCUGACCUGAGCGUUUAAAGUGGAACCGUCACCUCCCAGGCAUUUUACUAUUAUGUUUACUAAUUUCCUAUAUUUAACAAAUAUGUUCUUGUGAGGUCUGACAAAUGAAAUUAAAUACAGAAAUGAACAGUACUGUAUUUAACAGGGACAGUGCUGUGGAAACAUUGGAUAUUAUAAAUAAAGACUUGAAGUUUCUUUUUAUCUGAGGUUGUAACUUUUACGGUGGUCCAUAUUGUAAUGCCAAAUGUAUGUAUUGGAAUCUAAGUUUCAAUCUAGGAAGACGAAUAGUGUUUGUCACUAACUAUUUUCUGUCUUUUUCUUUAGUCAGGAACAAGCAAAAGGAGGAUGACGAUGACAUGAUAACUAAAAAGCUGCAAUAUACAAUUUCAAAUGCCCUGGGACUUCACCUGGAUGAUAAGACUGUUUGCCAGCUGGAUCAUGUCUACUGGAUGAACAUCUCCCAUCAAAUGCCACCCUUUUAAACUAAACUGCUACCGAAGUAAACUUUGUCCCAGGUAGAAUUGGUCUGGGCAAGUUUAGAAUCUCUGAUUUGGAUGAUGAGUAAUUCAUCCCCAUGUACGUGUAAUGUGUAAUUUUAUUCCAUGUGAGCAUUAUCAUAUAAUAAAAUGCCUUUAUUGACAG